This 253-nucleotide ribosomal RNA is filed under the name uncultured prokaryote. RNAcentral's name for it is "partial 16S ribosomal RNA". It matches the Rfam family "Bacterial small subunit ribosomal RNA", at positions 524 to 776 of the family's 1533-position model. The record is from RNAcentral.
UACGAAGGGGGCUAGCGUUGUUCGGAAUUACUGGGCGUAAAGCGCGCGUAGGUUGUCGUGCAAGUCAGUGGUGAAAUCCCGGAGCUUAACUUCGGAACUGCCAUUGAAACUGCUCGACUAGAAUCUCAGAGGGGAUAGCGGAAUUCCAAAUGUAGGGGUGAAAUCCGUAGAUAUUUGGAGGAACACCGGUGGCGAAGGCGGCUCACUGGCCCGAUUCUGACGCUGAGGCACGAAAGCGUGGGGAGCAAACAGG